UCGGGAAUAUUGCGCAAUGGAGGAAACUCUGACGCAGUGACGCCGCGUGCAGGAAGAAGGUUUUCGGAUUGUAAACUGCUUUAGACAGGGAAGAAGAAGUGACAGUACCUGUAGAAUAAGCUCCGGCUAACUACGUGCCAGCAGCCGCGGUAAUACGUAGGGAGCGAGCGUUAUCCGGAUUUAUUGGGUGUAAAGGGUGCGUAGACGGGAUAACAAGUUAGUUGUGAAAUCCCUCGGCUUAACUGAGGAACUGCAACUAAAACUGAUAUUCUUGAGUACUGGAGAGGAAAGUGGAAUUCCUAGUGUAGCGGUGAAAUGCGUAGAUAUUAGGAGGAACACCAGUGGCGAAGGCGACUUUCUGGACAGAAACUGACGUUGAGGCACGAAAGUGUGGGGAGCAAACA
Molecule: ribosomal RNA, 404 nt
Filed under: uncultured bacterium
Lineage: Bacteria
Description: bacterial SSU rRNA
Rfam family: Bacterial small subunit ribosomal RNA
Source: RNAcentral